UAGAUUGAGGCUCGCUGGAUAGAGUGUUUAGCUGUUAACUAAAAGGUCGUGGGAUAAAUGCCUGCCAAUCUAA
Molecule: transfer RNA, 73 nt
Filed under: Epicrionops cf. marmoratus UMMZ 190478
Lineage: Eukaryota; Metazoa; Chordata; Amphibia; Gymnophiona; Rhinatrematidae
Description: tRNA-Asn
Rfam family: tRNA
About the family: Transfer RNA (tRNA) molecules are approximately 80 nucleotides in length. Their secondary structure includes four short double-helical elements and three loops (D, anti-codon, and T loops).
Source: RNAcentral